GUGCUCACUCAGCAGCACAUAUACUAACAUUGGAAUGAUACAGAGAAGAUUAGCAUGGUCCCUGCACAAGGACGACAUGCAAAUUCGUGAAACAUUCCAUAUAUUA
RNAcentral lists this small nuclear RNA (106 nucleotides) under Dasypus novemcinctus (nine-banded armadillo). Lineage: Eukaryota; Metazoa; Chordata; Mammalia; Cingulata; Dasypodidae. The record is from RNAcentral.